GACGAACGCUGGCGGCGUGCUUAACACAUGCAAGUCGAACGGAAAGGCCCUGCUUUUGUGGGGUGCUCGAGUGGCGAACGGGUGAGUAACACAUGAGUAACCUGCCCUUGACUUUGGGAUAACUUCAGGAAACUGGGGCUAAUACCGGAUAGGAGCUCCUGCUGCAUGGUGGGGGUUGGAAAGUUUCGGCGGUUGGGGAUGGACUCGCGGCUUAUCAGCUUGUUGGUGGGGUAGUGGCUUACCAAGGCUUUGACGGGUAGCCGGCCUGAGAGGGGGACCGGCCACAUUGGGACUGAGAUACGGCCCAGACUCCUACGGGAGGCAGCAGUGGGGAAUAUUGCACAGUGGGCGGAAGCCUGAUGCAGCAACGCCGCGUGCGGGAUGACGGCCUUCGGGUUGUAAACCGCUUUCGCCUGUGACGAAGCGUGAGUGACGGUAAUGGGUAAAGAAGCACCGGCUAACUACGUG
This 468-nucleotide ribosomal RNA is filed under the name uncultured bacterium. Its description in RNAcentral is "partial 16S ribosomal RNA". It matches the Rfam family "Bacterial small subunit ribosomal RNA", at positions 28 to 507 of the family's 1533-position model. The record is from RNAcentral.